UGGGGCGGAUCGAUGGGGCCCGGGGCUGUGUUUGCUCCUCCCGGCCCGCAGGGGGCCCCGGAGCCCGCCCCGCUCGGCGCCGCUGUCCGGGGCGGAGCCGGGGCCGGGAUCAUGCAGGCGUCCGUGGCCAAGGACUCCGUGCAGGCGGCGGCCCAGAAGUUCCUGAACUUUGUGAAUCGGGGCCCCUCCCCCUACCAUGUGGUUGCCGAGUGCCGGAGCCGCCUGCUGCAGGCGGGGUUCUGGGAGCUGAAGGAGGCUGAGCACUGGGACAUCCAGCCCGAGCACAAGUACUUUGUGACCCGGAACCACUCCACCCUGAUCGCCUUCGCCGUCGGGGGCCGGUACCAGCCUGGCAACGGCUUCAGUCUGAUCGGCGCCCACACGGACAGCCCCUGCCUCCGGGUGAAGCGUCGCUCCAAGAGAGGCCAAGUGGGCCUGGUGCAGGUGGGCGUGGAGACCUAUGGAGGAGGGAUUUGGAACACCUGGUUCGACCGGGACCUGACUGUGGCCGGGCGGGUGAUCGUAAAGGAGCUGGCUGCGGGGCGGCUGGAGCAGCGGCUGGUGUGGGUGGAGCGGCCCGUCCUGCGCAUCCCCAACCUGGCCAUCCACCUGCAGCGCAGUGUCAACGAGAGCUUUGGGCCCAACACGGAGCAGCACCUGGUGCCCAUCCUGGCCACUACCAUCCAGGAGGAGCUGGAGAAGGGGGCACCCAAGGCUGGGGCUCCCUGCACUGCUGAUGCCCAGACGGAGCGGCAUGCCCCCGUCCUGCUAUCCUUGCUCUGCUCCCAGCUGGGCGUGAAGCCGGAGCAGAUCGUGGAGAUGGAGCUGUGUCUGGUGGAUACGCAGCCAGCGACAUUAGGCGGCGCCUUCGAUGAGUUCAUCUUCGCCCCCCGCCUGGACAAUCUGCACAGCUGCUACUGCGCCCUGCAGGCCCUGAUCAGCUCCUGUGAGGCUCCCGGCUCCCUCUCCCGGGAGCCCAACGUCCGCCUGAUCGCGCUGUACGACAACGAGGAGGUGGGCUCGGAGAGCGCGCAGGGCGCCGAGUCCCUGCUGACGGAGCUGGUCCUGCGCCGCAUCUCGGCCACACCCCAGAACCUGACGGCCUUCGAGGAGGCCCUGGCCAAGUCCUACCUGAUCAGCGCCGACAUGGCCCACGCCGCCCACCCCAACUACCUGGACAAGUAUGAGGAGAAUCACCGGCCGGCCUUCCACAAGGGCCCCGUGAUCAAGGUGAACAGUAACCAGCGCUAUGCCUCCACGGCCGUCACCGAGGCAGUGAUCCGGGAGAUCGCGGGCCGCGUCGACGUCCCCCUGCAGCCCUCCAGGAGCUUUCAGAGAUAGUUGCUCACCGUUCCGAUUGCUUCGGCUAACUCCUGAAGUAGCCUCGGCUGAAUGUCACAGCCCCUGCCGGCCUGGAUAUGCCCGACUCCUCCAAAUCGUCACUAACCUGCUCGUUCCCUCUGCUGGCUUGGUCCAUCCCCCUUGUUGCUCACAGUGAUUGUGUGGAGUGUCUGGUCACCGUGAACCUUUCUAGUGACACCUGAAGCAAAAUAACUUGGUUAGAUGCCACGAAGAGUUCAUGGUGCGGAACGACGUGCCCUGCGGCACCACCAUUGGGCCCAUCCUGGCCUCCCGCCUGGGGCUGCGGGUCCUGGACAUCGGCUGCCCGCAGCUGGCCAUGCACUCGAUCCGCGAGAUGUGCUGC
This is an RNA transcript of Chelonia mydas (Green sea turtle), 1705 nucleotides long. It is a transcript of the gene named aspartyl aminopeptidase, with no coding region annotated. The record is from RefSeq and is a predicted model, not a curated record. The transcript has 15 exons. NCBI's taxonomy places the organism in Eukaryota, Metazoa, Chordata, Testudines, Cheloniidae.